RNAcentral lists this ribosomal RNA (221 nucleotides) under uncultured bacterium. Its description in RNAcentral is "partial 16S ribosomal RNA". It matches the Rfam family "Bacterial small subunit ribosomal RNA", at positions 15 to 212 of the family's 1533-position model. The record is from RNAcentral.
GAUCCUGGCUCAGGAUGAACGCUGGCGGCGUGUCUAACACAUGCAAGUCGAACGAAGCACUGAGAGUUUGAGAUUUCGGUCAAGAACUUUCUUUGACUUAGUGGCGGACGGGUGAGUAAUGCGUGAGCAACCUGCCUUUCAGAGGGGGACGAACAGUUGGAAACGACUGCUAAUACCGCAUGAUAUAUUCGGAUGGCAUCGUCUGAAUAUCAAAGAUUUAU